This is a long non-coding RNA of Helianthus annuus (common sunflower), 1334 nucleotides long. RefSeq lists it as uncharacterized. Lineage: Eukaryota; Viridiplantae; Streptophyta; Magnoliopsida; Asterales; Asteraceae. The record is from RefSeq and is a predicted model, not a curated record. The transcript has 3 exons.
UCCUCACGCAAAUGUGGACCAACCUCUUCAAACCUCUUCAAAACACCUCUCUCUUUCAAAACACCUGCACAUCUUCAAACCUCAAACCCUAGCACCCAUCUCAACUUCCAUCCGACACCUCACCUCCUCCGCCACCCCUUCCACCUCCGCCGCCCCUCCACCUUCGCCGCCCCUCCACUCGUUCACCCAGGUACGAAUCAUAUCUCAAUACGAACAAGAUUAAACACCAGAAUCCCCUAGGGUUUUGUUCGAUCCUCCAUGGCUGCUACACAAUCUCUUUCACUACUUCACAUCUCACCUUCAUAUUCAUCUUUCGGUUACUGGAAUUCACACACUUCUUCCUUCUUCACGCCUACGGUUAGAUUAUUCAUCGGAGUUCAGCUCUCAAUUCAGCCUUUGAGUUACCGGAGUAAACCUUCUCGUCGUUAUUCCUCCAUCGUUGCAACUGUUUCUUCCACUGCUGCAACUCCGUUCGACUCCCACUCUCUCCAUUAUUUUCUGCGGCAUCCAGGUGAAGGACGAAUACGGGUGGCGCUGAUUCGUAUUGGAUAGGAACCGAGGUUUUAUCGAUUAUUCUAUUGUCGUGCCUUCGGGCGAGUGAAGGUCGGGUUUUCGCGCAUCUAGGAGAGCCAAGGGGCUGACGGCGAUCGAGUAGUCGAUCUUGACCGUAACACUCGGUAUCACAGCGGUUGGCACGUCAUUCCUUGCCUUUCAAAAAAAUGUCCCACAAGUAAUAUAAAUAAAUUUGCUAAAAGAAAUGAAAAAAAAAGGGAACACCUCCAGCAAGAAGCUUAAAAUUGCCAGCCCAGCCCAGCCCAGUUAGUAAUAGCAGCCCAAUGAUGUUUUGACAAUAUUAUAUUGGUCAACGGUCAAAACCCAGGUGUGCAACGCUGUCGGUUUUGAAACCUCAUAAACCCUAAACUCGUUCAUCUUCUUCGCGAAACUUCUUGUAAAAAAUGGAGAAAUCUGAAGCUGUUUGCGGACAAGAAGCACUGGAAUUGCUCAACUGCGUCACCAGCUCACCUUUCGAUCAAGACAAAUGCAUUACGCUCUUGAAUUCACUACGGAAAUGCGUUCUAGACAAGAAAGUGAAGAAGUUCUCAUUGGCGGAAGUGAAACCAGCAAAAGUUGAGGACAAGCAGGGCUGACAUUUUAUCUUCAAUUGAGAUUAUAAGAUAAAUGAUUUAAGCAUUGUUGAUAAGAUAAAUGAUUUAAGCAUUGUUGAUAAGAUAAAUGAUUUAAGCAUUGUUGUUCAACAUAUAACUUGGCUUACAAAUGAGAAAUUGCAUCUUUGUUUUGAAGUUAUUCUAGUGCAAGCAUUUUUUUCUACAGUA